GAUAGCGUGGCCGAGGCGGUCUAAAGGCGCUGGAUUUAGGCUCCAGUCUCUUCGAGGCGUGGGUUCGAAUCCCACCUCUGUCA
This 83-nucleotide transfer RNA is filed under the name Merluccius polli (Benguela hake). It matches the Rfam family "tRNA". From Rfam's summary of the family: Transfer RNA (tRNA) molecules are approximately 80 nucleotides in length. Their secondary structure includes four short double-helical elements and three loops (D, anti-codon, and T loops). The record is from Rfam by way of RNAcentral. Lineage: Eukaryota; Metazoa; Chordata; Actinopteri; Gadiformes; Merlucciidae.